AUUGAACGCUGGCGGCAGGCUUAACACAUGCAAGUCGAGCGGGGGAAGGUAGCUUGCUACCGGACCUAGCGGCGGACGGGUGAGUAAUGCUUAGGAAUCUGCCUAUUAGUAGGGGACAACAUCUCGAAAGGGAUGCUAAUACCGCAUACGUCCUACGGGAGAAAGCAGGGGAUCUUCGGACCUUGCGCUAAUAGAUGAGCCUAAGUCGGAUUAGCUAGUUGGUGGGGUAAAGGCCUACCAAGGCGACGAUCUGUAGCGGGUCUGAGAGGAUGAUCCGCCACGCGUGGACUGAGACACGGCCCAGACUCCUACGGGAGGCAGCAGUGGGGAAUAUUGGACAAUGGGGGGAACCCUGAUCCAGCCAUGCCGCGUGUGUGAAGAAGGCCUUAUGGUUGUAAAGCACUUUAAGCGAGGAGGAGGCUACUCUAGUUAAUACCUAGGGAUAGUGGACGUUACUCGCAGAAUAAGCACCGGCUAACUCUGUGCCAGCCGCCGCCGUAA
RNAcentral lists this ribosomal RNA (501 nucleotides) under uncultured bacterium. Its description in RNAcentral is "partial 16S ribosomal RNA". It matches the Rfam family "Bacterial small subunit ribosomal RNA", at positions 30 to 523 of the family's 1533-position model. The record is from RNAcentral.